RNAcentral lists this ribosomal RNA (207 nucleotides) under uncultured bacterium. RNAcentral describes it as "partial 16S ribosomal RNA". It matches the Rfam family "Bacterial small subunit ribosomal RNA", at positions 568 to 774 of the family's 1533-position model. The record is from RNAcentral.
CGCGUAGGCGGUUCGCUAAGUCGGAUGUGAAAACUCUGGGCUCAACCCAGAGCCUGCAUCCGAAACUGGCGGGCUAGAGUUCUGGAGGGGGUAGCGGAAUUCCUGGUGUAGCGGUGAAAUGCGUAGAUAUCAGGAGGAACACCGGUGGCGAAGGCGGCUACCUGGACAGAAACUGACGCUGAGGCGCGAAAGCUAGGGGAGCAAACA